Molecule: ribosomal RNA, 415 nt
Filed under: uncultured microorganism
Description: bacterial SSU rRNA
Rfam family: Archaeal small subunit ribosomal RNA
Source: RNAcentral
GCGCACCAGUCGCGAAACCUUCGCAAUGCGGGAAACCGCGACGAGGGGACUCCCAGUGCCUACGCUCAGCGUAGGCUGUUCCCGAGCCUAGAAAGCUCGGGGAGUAAGGGCUGGGUAAGACGGGUGCCAGCCGCCGCGGUAAUACCCGCAGCCCGAGUGGUGGCCACUAUUAUUGGGCCUAAAGCGUCCGUAGCCGGCCCGGUAAAUGCCUGGGUAAAUCGUGAGGCCUAACCUCACGAAUUCCGGGUAGACUGCCGGGCUAGGGGACCGGAGGAGGGAGAGGGGUACUCCAGGGGUAGGGGUGAAAUCCUGUAAUCCCUGGAGGACCACCGGCGGCGAAGGCGCUCUCCCAGGACGGGUCCGACGGUGAGGGACGAAAGCCAGGGGAGCGAACCGGAUUAGAUACCCGCGUAGU